This 422-nucleotide ribosomal RNA is filed under the name uncultured bacterium. Its description in RNAcentral is "partial 16S ribosomal RNA". It matches the Rfam family "Bacterial small subunit ribosomal RNA", at positions 360 to 773 of the family's 1533-position model. The record is from RNAcentral.
AAUCUUCCGCAGUGGACGCAAGUCUGACGGAGCAACGCCGCGUGAACGAUGAAGGCCUUCGGGUCGCAAAGUUCUGUUGUUAGGGAAGAACAAGAAUUGUUCGAAUAGGGCAGUACCUUGACGGUACCUAACCAGAAAGCCACGGCAAACUACGUGCUAGCAGCCGCGGUAGUACGUAGGUGGCAAGUGUUGUCCGGAAUUAUUGGGCGUAAAGCGCGCGCAGGCGGUCUUUUAAGUCUGAUGUGAAAGCCCUCGGCUCAACCGGGGAGGGUCAUUGGAAACUGGGAGACUUGAGUGCAGAAGAGGAGAGUGGAAUUCCAUGUGUAGCGGUGAAAUGCGUAGAGAUAUGGAGGAACACCAGUGGCGAAGGCGACUCUCUGGUCUGCAACUGACGCUGAGGCGCGAAAGCGUGGGGAGCAAAC